AUUGAACGCUGGCGGCAGGCUUAACACAUGCAAGUCGAGCGGGGUGAUGGUGCUUGCACUAUCACUUAGCGGCGGACGGGUGAGUAAUGCUUAGGAAUCUGCCUAUUAGUGGGGGACAACAUCUCGAAAGGGAUGCUAAUACCGCAUACGUCCUACGGGAGAAAGCAGGGGAUCACUUGUGACCUUGCGCUAAUAGAUGAGCCUAAGUCGGAUUAGCUAGUUGGUGGGGUAAAGGCCUACCAAGGCGAUGAUCUGUAGCGGGUCUGAGAGGAUGAUCCGCCACACUGGGAAUGAGACACGGCCCAGACUCCUACGGGAGGGAGCAGUGGGGAAUAUUGGACAAUGGGGGGAACCCUGAUCUAGCCAUGCCGCGUGUGUGAAGAAGGCCUUAUGGUUGUAAAGCACUUUAAGCGAGGAGGAGGCUCUUUUGGUUAAUACCCAAGAUGAGUGGACGUUACUCGCAGAAUAAGCACCGGCUAACUCUGUGCCAGCCGCCGCCGUAA
Molecule: ribosomal RNA, 503 nt
Filed under: uncultured bacterium
Lineage: Bacteria
Description: partial 16S ribosomal RNA
Rfam family: Bacterial small subunit ribosomal RNA
Source: RNAcentral